This 459-nucleotide ribosomal RNA is filed under the name uncultured bacterium. Its description in RNAcentral is "partial 16S ribosomal RNA". It matches the Rfam family "Bacterial small subunit ribosomal RNA", at positions 338 to 795 of the family's 1533-position model. The record is from RNAcentral.
CCUACGGGAGGCAGCAGUGAGGAAUAUUGGUCAAUGGCCGUGAGGCUGAACCAGCCAAGUCGCGUGAGGGAUGACGGCCCUACGGGUUGUAAACCUCUUUUGCCGGGGAGCAAAGAGCGGGACGCGUCCCGGCUCGAGAGGACCCGGAGAAAAAGCAUCGGCCAACUCCGUGCCAGCAGCCGCGGUAAUACGGGGGAUGCGAGCGUUAUCCGGAUUUAUUGGGUUUAAAGGGUGCGUAGGCGGAAUGGCAAGUCAGCGGUAAAAUUGAGGGGCUCAACCUCGUCCCGCCGUUGAAACUGGGGUUCUUGAGGGGGCGAGAAGUAUGCGGAAUGCGUGGGGUAGGGGGGAAAUGCAUAGAGACAACGCAGAACUGAGAUUGCGAAGGCAGCAGACCGGCGCCCAACUGACGCUGAAGCACGAAAGCGUGGGUAUCGAACAGGAUUAGAUACCCCGGGAGUC